AAACUAUUUAUACUUUGUUUUGAAAACAAGGUUUAAGAUUUUCUUGUAGUUUUA
This 54-nucleotide transfer RNA is filed under the name Paramacropostrongylus iugalis. RNAcentral's name for it is "tRNA-Ser". The record is from RNAcentral. Lineage: Eukaryota; Metazoa; Nematoda; Chromadorea; Rhabditida; Strongylidae.